GUAGGGGGCAAGCGUUGUCCGGAUUUAUUGGGCGUAAAGAGCGUGUAGGCGGCCAGGUAGGUGGGUUGUGAAAACUGGAGGCUCAACCUUCAGACGUCGACCCAAACCCCCUGGCUAGAGUCCGGAAGAGGAGAGUGGAAUCCCUGGUGUAGCGGUGAAAUGCGCAGAUAUCAGGAAGAACACCCGUGGCGAAGGCGGCUCUCUGGGACGGUACUGACGCUGAGACGCGAAAGCGUGGGGAGCGAACAGGAUUAGAUACCCUGGUAGUCCACGCCGUAAACGAUGGGUGCUAGGUGUGGGGGGUGUCGACUCCCUCCGUGCCGAAGCUAACGCAUUAAGCACCCCGCCUGGGGAGUACGGCCGCAAGGCUA
This 371-nucleotide ribosomal RNA is filed under the name uncultured bacterium. RNAcentral's name for it is "bacterial SSU rRNA". It matches the Rfam family "Bacterial small subunit ribosomal RNA", at positions 527 to 896 of the family's 1533-position model. The record is from RNAcentral.